CAGUCGCCGCGGGAAUACGAAGGGUGCAAGCGUUACUCGGAAUUACUGGGCGUAAAGCGUGCGUAGGUGGUGGUUUAAGUCCGUUGUGAAAGCCCUGGGCUCAACCUGGGAAUGGCAGUGGAUACUGGCUCGCUAGAGUGUGUCAGAGGAUGGUGGAAUUCCCGGUGUAGCGGUGAAAUGCGCAGAUACCGGGAGGAACGCCGAUGGCGAAGGCAGCCACCUGGUCCACUUCUGACGCUGAGGCGCGAAAGCGUGGGGAGCAAACCGGAUUAGAUACCCGUGUAGUCCCUGUCUCUUAUAC
This 301-nucleotide ribosomal RNA is filed under the name uncultured bacterium. RNAcentral's name for it is "partial 16S ribosomal RNA". It matches the Rfam family "Bacterial small subunit ribosomal RNA", at positions 509 to 807 of the family's 1533-position model. The record is from RNAcentral.